Long non-coding RNA from Micropterus salmoides (largemouth bass), 744 nucleotides. RefSeq lists it as uncharacterized. The transcript has 2 exons. The record is from RefSeq and is a predicted model, not a curated record. NCBI's taxonomy places the organism in Eukaryota, Metazoa, Chordata, Actinopteri, Centrarchiformes, Centrarchidae.
GGAGAGUCCACACUGCAGACUGGAGACUCUGAGGAAAUAAAGCUGGAUUCCAGCUGACAGCAUCACAAGAUGUAUAGAGACAGUGGUCCUCAUUCAUCAAACUGCCGGACCAUCAAAUCUGAUCUCAGAGUGUUUGUUCUCUCAUUUCUAAAAUUCAGUCCCAUAGUUAUUAGUGCAGGAUUAUAUAUCUAUUAGCUUUUUAAAAAAAUACUCUUUUACUAGUAUAUCCUAACAGAUUAUGUUGUUGCAGAAAACUCACUUUGAACGACCUCUUUCAUUUUCACCUCCUCGUUUGAUCCAUUGUUAAUAUGAAGAUAUUACAUUUACUCAUUAAGUUGACGCUUGUAUCCAAAGCGACUUACAAUUGCUGUACAUGUCAGAGGUCACACACCUCUGGAGCAACGAGGGGGGAAUUGAACCCGGGUCUCUCACAUCAAAGGCAUGAGUCUUAUCCACUGCUCCAUCACCACCCAAGCCACACUAUUAAUUAUUAUAGUAGCUAUAAGUCUCUGAAAUAUGUCUGGAUUUUAGUGAAAAGCCAGUGCUGUCUUAAAACCUGGUCACAAACACUGAACACCAGAACAUUUUAAUAACUUAUCAGAUUUCUCUUUUGACAUGAAAUUAAUCAGAAAAAAUAUAAAAGUACUAACUAAACUUUUAGUGUCAUUAUUAGUGAUUAAUACGAUGUACAUAUUUGUUCUGUUUUCUCAGAUCGUGACGGUUUGUAUUCUUGCAGAAAAAAAA